This 497-nucleotide ribosomal RNA is filed under the name uncultured bacterium. Its description in RNAcentral is "partial 16S ribosomal RNA". It matches the Rfam family "Bacterial small subunit ribosomal RNA", at positions 28 to 507 of the family's 1533-position model. The record is from RNAcentral.
GAUGAACGCUGGCGGCGUGCCUAAUACAUGCAAGUCGAGCGAACAGAUGAGGAGCUUGCUCCUCUGACGUUAGCGGCGGACGGGUGAGUAACACGUGGAUAACCUACCUAUAAGACUGGGAUAACUUCGGGAAACCGGAGCUAAUACCGGAUAAUAUAUUGAACCGCAUGGUUCAAUAGUGAAAGACGGUUUUGCUGUCACUUAUAGAUGGAUCCGCGCCGCAUUAGCUAGUUGGUAAGGUAACGGCUUACCAAGGCAACGAUGCGUAGCCGACCUGAGAGGGUGAUCAGCCACACGGGAACUGAGACACGGUCCAGACUCCUACGGGAGGCAGCAUUAGGGAAUCUUCCGCAAUGGGCGAAAGCCUGACGGAGCAACGCCGCGUGAGUGAUGAAGGUCUUCGGAUCGUAAAACUCUGUUAUUAGGGAAGAACAAAUGUGUAAGUAACUAUGCACGUCUUGACGGUACCUAAUCAGAAAGCCACGGCUAACUACGUG